GCCUUCGUGGUGUAGUGGUUAGCACGCUCGAUGAAUAACCAAGAGGUCUGUGGUUCGAUUCCUGGCGAAGGCG
Molecule: transfer RNA, 73 nt
Filed under: Stegodyphus mimosarum
Lineage: Eukaryota; Metazoa; Arthropoda; Arachnida; Araneae; Eresidae
Rfam family: tRNA
About the family: Transfer RNA (tRNA) molecules are approximately 80 nucleotides in length.
Source: Rfam by way of RNAcentral